Molecule: long non-coding RNA, 2451 nt
Organism: Ostrea edulis (European flat oyster)
Lineage: Eukaryota; Metazoa; Mollusca; Bivalvia; Ostreida; Ostreidae
Exons: 3
Source: RefSeq, a predicted model, not a curated record
CUCCUCACGUAGUUUUUGAAUAAAUUCUACUUCAAAGGAAUUUAAACACAGGCCAGCUAAGAAAGGAGCACAAUUCAUGCCCAUGGGAAUUCCAACAGACUAUUGAAAGACCUGAUCACCAAAGACCACGAAGAUAUUGUCAACGAGGAACUCCAGCAUAUUUUUAUUCAACUUCAGAGUAGUUGUGCAUGGAAUCAGAAUCCACGUUUGAUUUACACCACUUCUGGCAUAUGUAGUCGCACAAUUGUGGAGGCGUGUCCCUCUCAUAGUUGGUUGAUCGAAGGAAAACGAGGUGUUGAUACAUCACUAGCUGACUCACAAUGGACAAACCUUAAACAGCUGUUGUAUGAAAAUAUGUUUUGUAUUUUCAUUGAAAGAUAUUGAUCUGAGCAUAGAUUGUUCCCAUAUUCAAUAAACAUUAUAUAUGUUUCAUUCAUACUCAGAUGAUGACAAAACUCGUAAUGAUUUUGAUAUGGGAGAUCGACAGCUUUUACACAUCCUACAUGGUCCUCAGGAUAUGAGAGGAUCGGAGUUUUCACAAAUGACUAUCAGGAAAAAUAAAAAGAGAAACAUAAAAACGUUUGACAGCAAACCUUCAUUCAUCAUAGAUCUAGGAUGCCCGAGUUUCUCACGAGAAGAAAAUUUAAAGGUGAAAUCACAUAGGCGAUGUAAUACGAUGUCGGGAUAGGGUAUGAGGAUGGUGCACUCCCAGGGGCAUAUUCUUUGGCGUCUUCGCAGGACCGUGAUUCUAAUUUUCUGGUUUGAUGGAAUGUGAUGCUUACUCUGAAAAUCAAUCUGAAAUAGAAUUUUGUCUUUUGGUAAUGUGACGCCAGUUACUUAGAUAUCUAAUGAUGUAACAUAUUAGUUGUGUAAUUCAUCUCUUUAUAGUAUGCGAGCUGGCUGAUUUCCAGCGAGACCUACACACUUUCUGUGUGUUGUCAACCCUGCUAAUCCACCUGCAUUUUUGGCUAAAUUCGUACAUUGCUCCUACUCAUGGAUGAGCUUUAGUUUUCUUAGUUUUCUAGUUCUUGUAUUAAACAAAGGCAAGUCUAUUUUCUUUCCUGGUUCGUAAACUCUUGACAAUGCUUGAAAAGUAGAUUGCAAAUUUUUCAUGGAAGCCACAGGUUUUGAGGAACAGAUACUUCAGUGAUAUUUGUUGGGACUAGCCAAUAUGCUGCUGCUGCUGUUUACUCAAUUGUUUUCUGGUUAAACAGCAUGGUCCUAAACAUAGUCCACGACUCGUGACAAAUGCUAUCGUGGGUUUGUCUCUUGGUGUCAUUAUAUGACAGUAUCCUGAGCACAGAAUCAGAUUAAACGACAGCAUGAUACUAGUUAUUGGUUUGACUCGUCUAUAUACAUCCUGUUUGUGCAGUGUAUAUCUAAUCUAUAUUUUAAAAAGUAACCAUUCUUUUCGGCUUUUUAGCUAGCAAACCAACUCCGUUAUUGAGCUUUUCGAUCUUUGAUUACUUUACUCUCCAGCAUGACAUCUGAAUGUCUGUCAACCUCCUUUGAAAGGUAAGCUGACUGCAUACAGAUGAAUGUGGUUUUGUAGCAGCUUCUUCAGCUUCUUGUCAAAUCUUUUUCGGUCCUUUCUCAUUCUUUAGCAUUACUAAGGAGAUAUUAUUUCACCUGUCUAAUGAAGAGGUGAAGAUAACAAACAGUGAUCAAUCUCACAACCCCUAUGAGGAAUACAAAAUUAAAAGUUAGGCAAACACGAACCCUGGAUAAACCAGAGGCAGGAUCAAGUGCCUAGCAAGAGUAAGCACCCCAUAUCGACCGGUCACGCUCACCGUGAGCCCUAUAUCUUGAUCAGAAAAAUGGAGUAAUCCAGUAUGAAAAGAACGGUCUAACAAUUGGUAUGGAACACGUCGGACAGCAUUUGACCCAAUGAAAGGUGAAGAUAAGGAACAGUCAUCAAUCCCAUAAUUCCUAUAAGCAAUACAAAAUAGAUAGUUGGGCAAACACGGACCCUGGACACAUCAGAGGUGGGAUCAGGUGCCUAGGAGGAGUAAGCAUCCCUUCUCGACCAGUCACACCCACUGUGAGCCCUAUAUCCUGAUCAGGUAAACGGAGUUAUCCGUAGUCAACAUCAGUGUGCCAAGAACGGCGUAACAAUCGGUACAAAACACGUCUGACAGCAUUUGACCCAAUGAUAGGUUGUAUUGGCAAACUAGAUCGUUAUAACGACCAUAGAAUUUGCAAAAUUCUGACUUUAAUCGAGACCCUUGAAACCCCUGUACCAUCAACUUGUUUGUCAGUAGCUUGCCUCGAUUUGAAAACUGACCAUACGCAAAAGAAGCUCUUGCGUAUCGAAUCAGUUGAGAGAAAUAAACACUCUAUGCAGGUGAUAAUGGAAUAUUGCUACAUAAAUAUGGGAAGUUGACGAUGGAGAAGCUGAAAUCAUCCCGUUUGUCAUUAAGUUGAGUUGUUAGUUUGCCGUUGAUAUCUAUU